CUGGUUUCUGUGGAUGGGGAAUUCACAUGGGCUACAGCAGGCCCUCUAAUCUUCUACGUUCGGAGUCUCAGGUGGAGGAUGAGCAGGCUUGGGGUUAGAAUCACCUGAAGACUCCUUCCCUCCUGGGCGGGCCUAGCUGGAUGUGCAGCCUGCAAUACCCCUCACAACCCUCCACCCUCUCUCUGGUUCCGGGGGUGCAUCGAGGAGAUGCCACCCACAAAAUGAAAUGUGUGGGAGUUAUUAUUUCGGAGAACCUGGGUUAGGUGAUUAUUUAAAUGUUUUGGUCAGGAUUUCUGAAGAAAAUACAGAGUAAGUUCAAACUAGGUAAAAGGAUUAUUUUUAAAAGCAUGGGGAGAGUUUAAGAAAAACCAAAAAUAAGGGAUUAUGUAGAACUCCAGAAGUAGCAACAGGAGAGAGCCAUUACCUGUCCCAGGAUUGAAGGGACCCUGAGGCUAUUUGAAGAGAGUGUCUGUGGCCUUUAGGGAGGGAGGCAGAUAACCAAGGAUGAGCUGGGGGAGUAGGAGGAGAGUGACUAAACCCUGUCACCUCAUUGUCCUCCUGCCCUCUGAUCCCCAUGUCUAACGCCCCUGAAGGCCGUAUGGCCAGACCAGUCUCCCAGGAUCUGGAGUAGGGUGAUGGUGAGAUGGUGGAGAAUGGGUCUGGACAGGCAAACAGAAGGUAUCCAACACACCAAGAUAUCACCAGGGUCCGGCUGGGGGAGGGAGGAGUGUGUUUUGGUGAGUCACCAGUUGUCCCUUAUAGAGCUUCAGGUGAAUGCUGCUGGAGUCUGUGAGGCCUCCAUUAACAGACUUUCUAUUAUAUUUUAUCUUAUGAAAUUCCCAUUUUUGUAGGUAAAAUAAACUGGAAAAAUAGGCAAUUGCAUGUAGUUCAACUUAAUAUUCUGGGUACUUUCCAAUAAAGCUGCUAUUAGAUAACUGUUCAUAUUAGAUCACUAAAAAUGUGGCUCCUCAUUGUUUUAUUGUUGAGUAUUUUCUGUAUUAGAACUGCCUAAAAUACUUAAGUGGAAUGGGUAUUCUAAUUGGCCCACAAUAAACACCAGCCAAGGGAUGCUGGCAUCCUCUAGAAGACAGAAGAGGUAAGGAAGGGAUUCUCUUCCAAAAGGAACCAGCUCUGCAGAAACGUUCAUUUCAGUCCUAUACGAUUUUAUUCAGACCUCUGAUCUCCAGAACUGUAAAAGAAUAAAUUUGUGUUGUUUUAAGCCAAAUUUGUGAUAACUUAUAAAAGCAGCCAUAGGAAACUAAUAAUUGUGGUUUCCCUAGUUAUGUGAGUAUAGAGUGAGGAGGUAUGCAUGAGGAUAGAGUCCUUUCGACACCAUGUUGUUACUCCUUACAAACUCAGAUGCGAAAUUUGCACGAAGAGGAUAGCAGCCUCAGAAAGAUUGGGACCAAAACACGCACCCAGAAAUUUGGGGUUAGAGUGAUCUGUCAGGGUAGACUCGGAUGGUUCCCAGCAAGACACGGUAACAGAGAAGGCCAAUGGGAUGCCUGGGAAUACAGUGUCCUUAGAAAAGCGAGGAGGUCUUGGCUGAUCCAGGCUCGACAUAAGAUCCCAAGUGUUGUUGGGGGCACGACUGAUCUGGCACAGCUGAUGAUGUAUGUUACAAGGCCCUCAGGACCCAGCUGCCCAGAGAUGGUGUUUUUAGGGAAUAAUGGCUGAGCAAGACAUUGUGGACAAAUAAUGAGAGCUCUACUCCAGGAAUCCAAGCAGGAGGCGUCCCUGAAGCCAGAGCACCGGCUUGGACCAGCUCAGCAAGGGUUAACAAGGACCUGAGGAACUCUGGGGACCAGGUUUCCGCAGUGGCUCUGUGUGGCAGUGAGAAACACUGGUAGCAGUGGGCCAACUGGACUUCAGUCGUCUCUCCACUGGGCCUCUCAGCAAGGAUUGACCGGAUUGGCACUGAGUGAUCCCUGGAGGUUGCUGGGAGGACAUGGAAGGUAUAGAUAGAAGGUUUGGAACUCCAAGUCAGAGGUUGAAAAGAAAAAUGGUUUUUGGCCGAAUCAACGACUGAAUGAGAGAUCAGCGUGGUGUGUCAGCUGCAAUUUCUUUUAAAGCCUCCUUCCUGUCCGCCGUUAUCUUCUUCCUUCGUUUUGCCUGGAGUCCUUUUUGAGCUAAGAUAGAAAUCAAAAGGAAAAAAUAAAGCUGCUGACUCUAUAGUGACAGCUGCUGAUAUAUUUUGUAAAUGAGGAGCCCACCUUCAAGCGCAAAUAAUCCAAACAUGUAUAAUAUUUUAAGACGACUUUACAAUUCAAAAUGUCUUUUUCAUUUUAAUACUUCUUUCUAUCUCUCGUCCUGGAUAAUUGACUAGAAUUGAGAUUUUUUCCAAAAGACACAGGAAACUUCUACCAUACACAGAAAUCCAUUUGAAGUGAUGUUGAAAUCUAAAUGUGAAAGACGAAAUAAUAAAGUUUACAGAGAUGACCCAGAAGAAUGCUUCAUGAACUUGGAGUAGGGAAAGCCUUCUUAAACAGGAGACAGGAAACAUUAAUCAUAAAGGAAAAUACUGAUAAAUCAUACUGUAUUAAAACUUCUGUUGAUAAAAAUGUAAUACUAAGAAAGUAA
Equus asinus (donkey) is the source of this 2580-nucleotide long non-coding RNA. The record is from Ensembl. NCBI's taxonomy places the organism in Eukaryota, Metazoa, Chordata, Mammalia, Perissodactyla, Equidae.